Molecule: long non-coding RNA, 1780 nt
Filed under: Homo sapiens (human)
Lineage: Eukaryota; Metazoa; Chordata; Mammalia; Primates; Hominidae
Description: HSALNT0203471
Source: RNAcentral
GCAGAAUAUUUAUUGACAUAGGAAAACUAUUCACCAUACAUUUAAAAUUGGAAUAAAUAGCUUAACAAAUGGUAUAUUAUUUCACAUACAUAAAAUAUCUACACACGUGGUAUGUUGGUAAAUGUUUAACCAAUGGCUUACCCGGAGAGAAAAAAAUUGCAUUUGUAAAUAUUCUUACCAUGGACAAUUUCAAGCUACUAAUGUAAAGUCUGGGAAGCUACUAGAUGUGGAAAGAGAUACACAUAAUUUGUUCUGGCAAGCCAUUGUGAGCUGGCCCCAGCACCCACAGAUACACACUAAAUGAAAGUGCAAGUCCUCUCUGAAUGGUGGUAUAAUAGCUCACUUAGUUUGAAUUAUCUAAAAAGUAAUUGUUAAGAUUAGUUUAAACGUACAAGAAGUUCAUGGGGGGAGGUCUGUGAAGGAUGAAAGGGGAGAUAGCUGGAGAAGUCAAGAAGAGUCUUCAAGACCAUGAGGCAGUCUACGCCUGUGAAAGAAGAGAAGGAAGAAAGAAUCAGGUGCGGAAACAGAGGCACAAAGAAAUAACCUUCAUUUCAGGAAGAACAACCAGUGGACUGUUUUUAGUGCCAGAGUCAAGACGACGUCUUCUGAUUCCACCUGAUACUUAUUCCAUAUACAAAUAGCAAGAACAAUGUCUUAAUACUUUUGAUUCUCUUACCCAGCAAAGGGUCCUUAGUAGACGUGAGCAAGAACAUGUCUAUUUCAAUAAACAAACAAGUAAACAAAUAAAAUCUAUCAUGUUAUGAAACAAUAAAAGAGCUUGGUGGAUAUAGAAUGGGGAAAAGAGAAUUAGUUUUGAGUCAAAAUAUCUGGAUAUGAGUCUUUGUUAUGCAGUUAAAUCAUUCACCAAAUAUCAUUGAGAGCUCGAUUCUGUCAGGCUCUCUGACACAUAAAAAAAAAAAAAUAGAGAACUAUGGGCCAGGCACCGUGGCUCACGCCUGUAAUCCUAGCACUUUAGGAGGCUGAGGCAGGUGGAUUACCUGAGAUCAGGAGUUCAAGACCAGCCUGGCCAACAUAGUGAAACCCCAUCUCUACUAAAAAUACAAAAAAUCAGCCAGGUGCAGUGGCGCACGCCUGUAAUCCCAGCUACUCAGGAGGCUGAGGAAGGAGAAUCGCUUGAACCUGGGAGGCGGAGGUUGCCGUGAGCCGAGAUCAGGCCACUGCACUCCAGCCUGGGCAACUGAAGGAGGCUUUGUCUCAAAAAUAAAUAAAUAAAUAAAUAAAUAAAUAAAUAAAUAAAUAAAUAAAUAAAAAUAAAUAGAGAACUAUGAAUAUUUGGGGUUUUAAUUGUCAUUGCUGUUGUUUUAUAAAAGUUACUUUCUUUGAUGCCAGGUUAGUUCAGAGUGCUUAUCAAUCUCCUUUCUCAAUUCAUUUUAAGUGAGAAAAAAUCCUGACCAUUUUGAAUUAACAUAUUCUAUUGUCUUCUGAUAACUAAUAGUUAUUCAACGUAAUGAAAAGAGCUGCUUUUGUUUCAUAAUAUCAAUUGUGUGAAACUUAGUAAAAAAUAUUCUCUUCCUAUUUUUCAUGAAAGAUAGUUCCAGUAAUUGUUUCUAGAUCUUUAAUUGGUUUGGAAGAGAUAAGUAAAAUUAACCUUUCAAUACUUUGUAGAAAGUAGGACUCCAGAAGUUUAGAUUUCUACUAAUUAUAAAACAACUGCAACUCUGCUACUCCACAAACACAUCAAUAACAAGUUUUUAAUACCAAUUCACUGUAUCUCUGUUUUGGGAAAUUAUAUUUAAAAAUAAAGAAAACCUAUUUAAAG